ACUUUAUUGUUGUUCCUCUCCCAUCCUUCUUUUAGUUGGCUAAUUGCAAUUCUGGCCCAACUCAACCCUCUCUUUGGACCACAGUUGAAAAACGAAACCAUCUGGUAUCUGAAGCAUCAUUGGCCUUGAGGAGGAAGACAUGUUCUACAGCGCUCAGUCUUUGAGGUCACAAGAAGAAAAUGCCUUCUAGAUGCAAAAUCACCUCCAAACCAGACCACCUUUCUUGACUUGCCUACUUUGGGCAUCAGCUGCCUUAAACGUUAACACCACAUUUGAAUGCCUUAUUCUACAAUCCAGUGUGUUUUCCUUCACCUUUUUUACACUUUGGUGAAUUAUGUGCCUACUUAACUUGAACUGUGUCGACUCCACAAAAUGAUUAUGCACUUUUCUGAGACAAAAGAUGCUGUUCUUCUGAGAGAUCCAUUACUCUCUCCUUGGAAUCUGUGGAUUUGAAGAUGGCUCCUGCCUUCUCAUAUGGGAAUCAGUGAAGUGUUUAGAAACUGCUGCAAGACAAACAAGCCUCCAGUGGGGUGGUCAGUAGGAGAGCACGUUCAGAGGGAAGAGCCUUCUCGACAGAAUCACACCAGACUCUGUUUUCAGGAUGAAUUUCUUAUUUCUGCCAUCUUUUGGAAUAAAUAUUUUUUCCCUUUCUAUGGAAAUCUGA
RNA transcript from Cebus imitator (Panamanian white-faced capuchin), 664 nucleotides. RefSeq lists it as uncharacterized. The record is from RefSeq and is a predicted model, not a curated record. Lineage: Eukaryota; Metazoa; Chordata; Mammalia; Primates; Cebidae. The transcript has 2 exons.